RNAcentral lists this ribosomal RNA (305 nucleotides) under uncultured bacterium. RNAcentral's name for it is "bacterial SSU rRNA". It matches the Rfam family "Bacterial small subunit ribosomal RNA", at positions 338 to 659 of the family's 1533-position model. The record is from RNAcentral.
CCUACGGGGGGCAGCAGUGGGGGAUAUUGCACAAUGGGGGAAACCCUGAUGCAGCGACGCCGCGUGUGGGAAGACGGUCCUCUGGAUUGUAAACCACUGUCCCCAGGGACGAAGAUGACGGUACCCGGGGAGGAAGCUCCGGCUAACUACGUGCCAGCAGCCGCGGUAAUACGUAGGGAGCAAGCGUUGUCCGGAUUUACUGGGUGUAAAGGGCGUGUAGCCGGGCCGGCAAGUCAGAUGUGAAAUCCCAAGGCUCAACCUUGGAACUGCAUUUGAAACUGUUGGUCUUGAGUAUCGGAGAGGCA